AUACGUAGGUGGCGAGCGUUAUCCGGAAUUAUUGGGCGUAAAGGUGCGUAGGCGGUUAUUUAAGUUUAAGGUUAAAGUUCAGGGCUCAACCCUGUGAUGCCUUAGAAACUGGAUAGCUAGAGUACAGGAGAGGUUAGUGGAAUUCCAUGUGUAGCGGUAAAAUGCGUAGAUAUAUGGAGGAACACCAGUGGCGAAGGCAGGGUCCGGGGCUGAAACAGAUGCUCACUCUCGAACUACGGGGCGGCAAUUAGAUUGAAUUCACUUGAUUGGCGACGCCGUAAACGACGUAUACUAAGGGUUGGGGUAAUACGCAGUGCUGCAGUUGACGCAAUAAUUAUGCCGCCUGGGGAGAAUGCGCGCAAGCUGAAAACGCAAAUGAAUUGACGGGG
RNAcentral lists this ribosomal RNA (389 nucleotides) under uncultured bacterium. RNAcentral's name for it is "partial 16S ribosomal RNA". It matches the Rfam family "Bacterial small subunit ribosomal RNA", at positions 523 to 918 of the family's 1533-position model. The record is from RNAcentral.